UGUAGUAAUACAAGGCAKACGGCUCAGUAACACGUAGUCAACCUACCCUAUGGACRAGAAUAAUCUCGGGAAACUGRGCAUAAUUCUUGAUAGAUCAUAAUGCCUGGAAUGGUUUAUGGUUAAAAUGAUUCGUCGCCAUAGGAUGGGACUGCGGCCUAUCAGCUUGUUGGUGAGGUAAUGGCCCACCAAGGCGAUUACAGGUACGGGCUCUGAGAGGAGAAGCCCGGAGAUGGGUACUGAGACACGGACCCAGGCCCUAUGGGGCGCAGCAGGCGAGAAAACUUUGCAAUGUGCGAAAGCACGACAAGGUUAAUCCGAGUGAUUUCUGCUAAAGAAAUCUUUUGCCAGUCAUAAAACCACUGGUGAAUAAGGGGUGGGCAAGUUCUGGUGUCAGCCGCCGCGGUAAAACCAGCACCUCAAGUGGUCAGGAUGAUUAUUGGGCCUAAAGCAUCCGUAGCCGGCUUUGUWAGUUUUCGGUUAAAUCCAUGUGCUCAACGCAUGGGCUGCCGAAAAUACUGCAURGCUAGGGAGUGGGAGAGGUAGACGGUACUCAGUAGGAAGGGGUAAAAUCCUUUGAUCUAUUGAUGACCACCUGUGGCGAAGGCGGUCUACCAGAACACGUUCGACGGUGAGGGAUGAAAGCUGGGGGAGC
This 652-nucleotide ribosomal RNA is filed under the name uncultured archaeon. RNAcentral describes it as "bacterial SSU rRNA". It matches the Rfam family "Archaeal small subunit ribosomal RNA", at positions 63 to 720 of the family's 1478-position model. The record is from RNAcentral.